Molecule: long non-coding RNA, 407 nt
Filed under: Monodelphis domestica (gray short-tailed opossum)
Lineage: Eukaryota; Metazoa; Chordata; Mammalia; Didelphimorphia; Didelphidae
Description: lncRNA (ENSMODG00000041131.1)
Source: RNAcentral
AGAGGUUUCAACAUGUAGAGGAGAAAUGAGACUACAUUCCAAAUAUCUUGUCCAAUGUGAGUACAGAGAUGGGAGAAGAUAGAGGAUAUAACUACAAAGUGGUAACAAGAAACAUAGAUUCCAGCGUCUACUGACUAGUUAAGAAUGCAAGCUCCUUGAUGGCACGAAAUGUUGUGAACCUUUCUUUGGAAUUUCUUAGUGCUUAGCUCAAUAACUAGUACUUAAGUAUUUUCUAAAUGCCUUUACUUUUCUGAGAAUUAGUUUUGUCAGUAGAAACAACUUCAUAACUUGAAGAACUUUACCAUUAGCACUCCUAGAACUUGGUAGAAUGAGCAAGAAGUGACAUUAAUAUUGCCUUGAAAUUAAUAUUUCCUUAAAGGAGUUUGGAAGACUAUAACAAGCAUGAC